GACGGAGGGGGCUAGCGUUGUUCGGAAUUACUGGGCGUAAAGCGCACGUAGGCGGACUAUUAAGUCAGGGGUGAAAUCCCGGGGCUCAACCCCGGAACUGCCUUUGAUACUGGUAGUCUCGAGUCCGGAAGAGGUGAGUGGAAUUCCGAGUGUAGAGGUGAAAUUCGUAGAUAUUCGGAGGAACACCAGUGGCGAAGGCGGCUCACUGGUCCGGUACUGACGCUGAGGUGCGAAAGCGUGGGGAGCAAACAGG
This 253-nucleotide ribosomal RNA is filed under the name uncultured bacterium. RNAcentral's name for it is "partial 16S ribosomal RNA". It matches the Rfam family "Bacterial small subunit ribosomal RNA", at positions 524 to 776 of the family's 1533-position model. The record is from RNAcentral.